CAAGUAUGUAGAUGUCGUUUUGAGAACUGAGUGAAAGGAAGGAGGGUUAGCACCGCCGCCUGGUGUGUGCUGUGAGAAUUAGAGAGAGAGCGAGUAGAGAGCGAAGGGGAAAAAAACGUCCAAGCCAGGAAGAGUGUAUGGCCAUUCCGUGGGAUUUUUUCUGGAAAAACUAAUGCUAAUGAGCAGUUAGAUAAAUUUUGCUCUGUUGAGAUAAACCUUUGGAUUUGCUGGAACUAUUCUUGGUCAGGUUUUUUUGUGAUGUAUGAUUCGACACCAUGCCGGCCCAAAGAUGGCAAGCCACCGCACCAGGAUUCACUGUGAUGACAACUGAGAUCGAAAAGGAAAUUUGGAAGUUCUUUGGGCCCAUUUUCUUUUGAUGUAAAUUCACAGAAGUUUUGUGUGUUACAUAUUAUUGGGUGUAAGUGUGUAAUAACUGUGGGAAGAGUGAGAGGGUGUGUUAAAUUCACUAUAGAUUCAAUACAUGUUAUGCAACUAAA
Molecule: long non-coding RNA, 497 nt
Organism: Micropterus salmoides (largemouth bass)
Lineage: Eukaryota; Metazoa; Chordata; Actinopteri; Centrarchiformes; Centrarchidae
Exons: 2
Source: RefSeq, a predicted model, not a curated record